GGCCAGCUUGAAGAUCCUCAUGUAACACUUGGCAAUCAGAAGGCACCCUGUGAUGUUGCACCUGCCAGAGCUGCUACAUCAAGUCAUGUGACUUAUGAGAACCCUGGGUGUCUUCAAGGAUCGUUUGACCAGAGCAGCCACAUCUUCGGGGAAAAUGCAGGUAAGCAGUGUGCUACAAAUGGCAUAGCGGCGAUUAUGACCCACACCACCCAUAGCGUUCUCAAAUGGAAAAAAAAGAACAUUCAUCAUAUUCUAAAACAAGGUAAUGGCUUGUACACAUCUAUGCUAGAAAA
Molecule: long non-coding RNA, 293 nt
Organism: Gadus morhua (Atlantic cod)
Lineage: Eukaryota; Metazoa; Chordata; Actinopteri; Gadiformes; Gadidae
Exons: 2
Source: RefSeq, a predicted model, not a curated record